Amphiprion ocellaris (clown anemonefish) is the source of this 860-nucleotide long non-coding RNA. The record is from Ensembl. NCBI's taxonomy places the organism in Eukaryota, Metazoa, Chordata, Actinopteri, Pomacentridae.
AUUUUGGAUUAAUCUUUUCUCUUUUCUUUAGUUUUGUGUCUCUGGUUUAGUAUCGUAUUUUGAGGAGCUCAGUUGCCCUGACGAUGCUGUAGCUCCCUGUAAUUCUGAAUUUUGUUUUGGUCUGGUUUUGCAUCAUUUUCUAAUCAUCACGUCUUCACGCAGAGCAGAGGAGACCUUUUUGUUACUUACAACUGGAAUGUAAUGACCCACUUGGCUACAUGACGUUACGAAGGUUUUAGAUUCCAUUUAGUGAACGUGCAGAACCUUGCUGUUGUGGGUUGUUGUGUUUGUUGUCACACGGUUGCAUGAGUGUGAAGAGAUAAACAAUCCUCCCUGUAGCCUCAUGCAGUUUCACUGAUGGACAACUGGUGGCAGUAAUGUGACGAAGGGUCGCUGCCCAAUAAAAGCAACAGGAGAAGAACGAAGAGACGACAAACAGCAGGUCGUCUCCUCCAGCAGAAGAAAACCAGAUGAUGUUCCACCUCCAUCCAACAGACAUUCUAACUGGCUGGUUGGGGUUCUUCUGCAGUAUUCCCGGCUCUCUCCUGGACGAUCCCUGGACCCAGUGGAGGUGGUUGGAGACGGGAGAAGCUGUCAUCCCCGAUGGAGGACCAGUGGAAUCUUGUCACAGCACUGGACAGCUGCUUCUCUGGUGAUGAGGAAGACCACAGAUCUUCAUCCUGCUGCUGGCAGACUCUAUAACCAUCACUGCUCACAGUAAACCACAGGAGGAGAAACUGACAAGAUAUUUGCUUUGACCUCUUUGCUGCUGUAACACUGCAUAUUAUCCUGCUGUGGAAUCAAUGAAGGAUUAUUUUAUCAUGUUUUCUAUACUAUGAGUCCACAUACUACUGUGGCGC